Molecule: transfer RNA, 68 nt
Filed under: Tonatia bidens (Spix's round-eared bat)
Lineage: Eukaryota; Metazoa; Chordata; Mammalia; Chiroptera; Phyllostomidae
Description: tRNA-Ala
Rfam family: tRNA
About the family: Transfer RNA (tRNA) molecules are approximately 80 nucleotides in length. Their secondary structure includes four short double-helical elements and three loops (D, anti-codon, and T loops).
Source: RNAcentral
GAGGGCUUAGCUUAAGUAAAGUAGUUGAUUUGCAUUCAGCAGAUGUAAGGUGAGUCUUACAGUCCUUA